Molecule: ribosomal RNA, 405 nt
Filed under: uncultured Enterobacter sp.
Lineage: Bacteria; Pseudomonadati; Pseudomonadota; Gammaproteobacteria; Enterobacterales; Enterobacteriaceae
Description: bacterial SSU rRNA
Rfam family: Bacterial small subunit ribosomal RNA
Source: RNAcentral
AACUAGAAGAACCYUACCUACUCUUGACAUCCAGAGAACUUAGCAGAGAUGCUUUGGUGCCUUCGGGAACUCUGAGACAGGUGCUGCAUGGCUGUCGUCAGCUCGUGUUGUGAAAUGUUGGGUUAAGUCCCGCAACGAGCGCAACCCUUAUCCUUUGUUGCCAGCGGUUAGGCCGGGAACUCAAAGGAGACUGCCAGUGAUAAACUGGAGGAAGGUGGGGAUGACGUCAAGUCAUCAUGGCCCUUACGAGUAGGGCUACACACGUGCUACAAUGGCGCAUACAAAGAGAAGCGACCUCGCGAGAGCAAGCGGACCUCAUAAAGUGCGUCGUAGUCCGGAUUGGAGUCUGCAACUCGACUCCAUGAAGUCGGAAUCGCUAGUAAUCGUGGAUCAGAAUGCCACGGU